Molecule: ribosomal RNA, 478 nt
Filed under: uncultured bacterium
Lineage: Bacteria
Description: partial 16S ribosomal RNA
Rfam family: Bacterial small subunit ribosomal RNA
Source: RNAcentral
AUUGAACGCUGGCGGCGUGCUUAACACAUGCAAGUCGAACGGUAAGGCCCUUCGGGGUACACGAGUGGCGAACGGGUGAGUAACACGUGGGUGAUCUGCCCUGCACUUCGGGAUAAGCCUGGGAAACUGGGUCUAAUACCGGAUAGGACCACUGCCUGCAUGGGUGGUGGUGGAAAGCUUUUGCGGUGUGGGAUGGGCCCGCGGCCUAUCAGCUUGUUGGUGGGGUGAUGGCCUACCAAGGCGACGAGGGGUAGCCGGCCUGGGAGGGUGACCGGCAACACUGGGACUGAGAUACGGCCCAGACUCCUACGGGAGGCAGCAGUGGGGAAUAUUGCACAAUGGGUGCAAGCCUGAUGCAGCGACGCCGCGUGAGGGAUGACGGCCUUCGGGUUGUAAACCUCUUUCAGCACCGACGAAGCGCAAGUGACGGUAGGUGCAGAAGAAGGACCGGCCAACUACGUGCCAGCCGCCGCCGUAA